This 115-nucleotide microRNA precursor is filed under the name Punica granatum (pomegranate). RNAcentral describes it as "mir-172 microRNA precursor family". It matches the Rfam family "mir-172 microRNA precursor family". Rfam says of the family: mir-172 has been experimentally verified in Arabidopsis thaliana. Lineage: Eukaryota; Viridiplantae; Streptophyta; Magnoliopsida; Myrtales; Lythraceae. The record is from Rfam by way of RNAcentral.
UUGUUUGCGGGAGUAGCAUCAUCAAGAUUCACAUGCUGAAUCUGCUGGGAGGUGAUCUGACAUCCAUGCCGGUUCCUGGGAGUGAGAAUCUUGAUGAUGCUGCAUCGGCAAUAAA